GACGAACGCUGGCGGCGUGGAUUAGGCAUGCAAGUCGAACGGUAGGUGCCCUUCGGGGUACUGAGAGUGGCGAACGGGUGAGUAACACGUAGGUGAUCUACCCUCAAGACGGGGACAACCCAGGGAAACUUGGGCUAAUACCGGAUGAUAGCAUCCUUCGGGAUGUUUAAAGAUGGCUUCGGCUGUCGUUUGGGGAUGAGCCUGCGCUCUAUUAGUUAGUUGGUGAGGUAAUGGCUUACCAAGGCGAUGAUAGAUAGGCGGCCUUAACGGGUGGUCGCCCACACUGGGAUUGAGAUACGGCCCAGACUCCUACGGGUGGCAG
Molecule: ribosomal RNA, 322 nt
Filed under: uncultured Spirochaetota bacterium
Lineage: Bacteria; Pseudomonadati; Spirochaetota
Description: bacterial SSU rRNA
Rfam family: Bacterial small subunit ribosomal RNA
Source: RNAcentral